Non-coding RNA from Acanthopagrus latus (yellowfin seabream), 73 nucleotides. The record is from the annotation of a RefSeq genome assembly. NCBI's taxonomy places the organism in Eukaryota, Metazoa, Chordata, Actinopteri, Spariformes, Sparidae.
AAGGCGCUAGUAAAGUCGUCAUUUACAUUGCUUUGUCAAGGCAAAAUCGUGGGUUCAACCCCCGCGCGCUUUA